AUUGAACGCUGGCGGCAGGCCUAACACAUGCAAGUCGAACGGUAACAGGAAGCAGCUUGCUGCUUCGCUGACGAGUGGCGGACGGGUGAGUCAUGUCUGGGAAACUGCCUGAUGGCGGGGGAUAACUACUGGAAACGGUAGCUAAUACCGCAUAACUUCGCAAGACCAAAGAGGGGGACCUUAGGGCCUCUUGCCAUCGGAUGUGCCCAGAUGGGAUUAGCUAGUAGGUGGGGUAACGGCUCACCUAGGCGACGAUCCCUAGCUGGUCUGAGAGGAUGAACGGCCACACUGGAACUGAGACACGGUCCAGACUCCUACGGGAGGCAGCAGUGGGGAAUAUUGCACAAUGGGCGCAAGCCUGAUGGAGCCAUGCCGCGUGUAUGAAGAAGGCCUUCGGGUUGUAAAGUACUUUCAGCGGGGAGGAAGGGAGGAAAGUUAAUACCUGUGCUCAUUGACGUUACCCGCAGAAGAAGCACCGGCUAACUCCGUG
RNAcentral lists this ribosomal RNA (490 nucleotides) under uncultured bacterium. Its description in RNAcentral is "partial 16S ribosomal RNA". It matches the Rfam family "Bacterial small subunit ribosomal RNA", at positions 30 to 507 of the family's 1533-position model. The record is from RNAcentral.